This is a non-coding RNA of Rhodocollybia butyracea, 101 nucleotides long. Lineage: Eukaryota; Fungi; Basidiomycota; Agaricomycetes; Agaricales; Omphalotaceae. The record is from the annotation of a GenBank genome assembly.
GGCCUGAUGGUCUAGGAGUAUGAUUCGUUGUUAGGGUUAACUGUGUCUGGCAGUUUAAUAUUCUUUCGACGAGGUCCCGGGUUCAAUUCCCGGUCAGGCCC